GACGAACGCUGGCGGCGUGCCUAAUACAUGCAAGUAGAACGCUGAAGGAGGAGCUUGCUUCUCUGGAUGAGUUGCGAACGGGUGAGUAACGCGUAGGUAACCUGCCUGGUAGCGGGGGAUAACUAUUGGAAACGAUAGCUAAUACCGCAUAAGAGUAGAUGUUGCAUGACAUUUGCUUAAAAGGUGCAAUUGCAUCACUACCAGAUGGACCUGCGUUGUAUUAGCUAGUUGGUGGGGUAACGGCUUACCAAGGCGACGAUACAUAGCCGACCUGAGAGGGUGAUCGGCCACACUGGGACUGAGACACGGCCCAGACUCCUACGGGAGGCAGCAGUAGGGAAUCUUCGGCAAUGGACGGAAGUCUGACCGAGCAACGCCGCGGGAGUGAAGAAGGUUUUCGGAUCGUAAAGCUCUGUUGUAAGAGAAGAACGAGUGUGAGAGUGGAAAGUUCACACUGUGACGGUAUCUUACCAGAAAGGGACGGCUAACUACGUG
Molecule: ribosomal RNA, 495 nt
Filed under: uncultured bacterium
Lineage: Bacteria
Description: partial 16S ribosomal RNA
Rfam family: Bacterial small subunit ribosomal RNA
Source: RNAcentral